CUAGCCGUAAACGAUGGGUACUAGGUGUAGGGGUUUCGAUACCUCUGUGCCGGAGUUAACGCAAUAAGUACCCCGCCUGGGGAGUACGGUCGCAAGACUAAAACUCAAAGGAAUUGACGGGGGCCCGCACAAGCGGUGGAGCAUGUGGUUUAAUUCGAUGCAACGCGAAGAACCUUACCAGGGUUUGACAUCCCUUGUCAGCUGUAGAGAUACAGUGUCUCUUUUAGAGCAAGGAGACAGGUGG
Molecule: ribosomal RNA, 244 nt
Filed under: uncultured Bacillota bacterium
Lineage: Bacteria; Bacillati; Bacillota
Description: uncultured Firmicutes bacterium partial 16S ribosomal RNA
Rfam family: Bacterial small subunit ribosomal RNA
Source: RNAcentral